UCUUGUUUUAAGGUCUGUCUUUUUAAAUUUUAUGUCUGUGUUCGUUCUUGACGUCUGGUUUUGUUUUUUACCUUUGUUUUUUAUACGACCGCAAAAAUUUUUGCGGUCGUAUAUUGGUAUGACGUUGGCGUCGUCGUCGUCGUCGUUGUCGUCGUCGUCCGGCGUCGUCCGGCGUCGUCCGAAGACACAUUGGUUUUCGUACUCUAACUUUAGUUUAAGUGAAUGGAUCUCUAUGAAAUUUUACCAUAAGGUUCAAUACCACAAAAGGAAGGUUGGGAUUGAUUUUGGGGGUUAUGGUACCAACAGUUAAGGAAUUAGGGGCCAAAAAGGGGCCAAAAAUAAGCAUUUUUGUAACUUCCAGACAUAACUUGUGUGUUAGUGUAUGGAUCUCUCUGACAUUGUACCACAAGAUUCCAUAUCACAAAGGGAACGCUGGGAUUGAUUUUGGGGGUAAUUGCCUCAAAAUAUUAGGAAUUAGGGGCCAAAAAAGGGGCAAAAAACAAGCAUUUUUCUAGUUUCAUGACAAUAACUUGUGUGAAAGUGUAUGGAUCUUUCUGAAAUUGUACUACAAGGUUCCAUAUCACAAAGGGAAAGCUGGAAUUGAGUUUGGGGGUAAUUGCCCGAAACGUUUAGGAAUUGGGGGCUAAAAAGGGGCCAAAAAACACAUUUUUCUAGUUUCCAGACAAUAACUUGUGUUCAAGUGUAUGGAUCUCUCUGAAAUUGUACUGCAAGGUACCAUACCACAAAGGGAAGGCUGGGAUUGAGUUUUGGGGUGAUGAAUCAUAAGGGGGUUGAAAAAAUUUGGGGGGGAUUUUUUUUUUCCUUUUUUUUCUUUUUUUCCUUUUUUUUUCUUUUAAAAUUUUCCAUUUUAAGUUGGUUAUUUCUGAUUUAUUUUCAAAAGCAAAUAAUAAUGAUAUGGUAGGAGAUACACACCAAACAGGAUGUGUAAAUUAUUAUAUAAUAAGUAUUGGGCAAUAGCAAGAAAUUUUCAAUUGCACAGUAUUGCGCAAUAGCAAGAAAUAUCCAAUAGCACAAUAUUGCGCAAUAGCAAGAAAUUGUCAAUUGUGCAGUAUUGCGCAAUAGCAAGAAAUAUUCAAUUGCACAGUAUUGUGCAAAAGAAGAUACUUCGUAUAAAUUGCUUAUUUCUUGACCAAUUUCAAUGGGGUUUUAUUCUUGAAUUCUUGGGGUUCUUUAAUAUGCUGAAUCUAACCGUGUAUUCAGUUUUUGGAUUUUGGGCCCCGUUUUUAAAUUGGUCCACAUUGAGGUCCAAAGGGUCCAAAAUUAAACUUUGUUUGAUUUCAUCAAAAAUUGAAUUAUUGGGGUUCUUUGAUAUGCCGAAUCUAACCGUGUAUUUAGAUUCUUAAUUUUUUGGUUCCGUUUUCAAAUUGGUCUACAUUAAGGUCCAAAGGGUCCAAAAUUAAACUAAGUUUGAUUUUAACAAAAAUUGAAUUCUUAGGGUUCUUUGAUAUGCUGAAUCUAAACAUGUAUUUAGAUUUUUUAUUAUGGGCCCAGUUUUCAAGUUGGUCCAAAUCGGGGUCCAAAAUUAAACA
This is a long non-coding RNA of Mytilus californianus (California mussel), 1550 nucleotides long. RefSeq lists it as uncharacterized. The transcript has 2 exons. Lineage: Eukaryota; Metazoa; Mollusca; Bivalvia; Mytilida; Mytilidae. The record is from RefSeq and is a predicted model, not a curated record.